This 960-nucleotide ribosomal RNA is filed under the name Ferdinandcohnia aciditolerans. Its description in RNAcentral is "bacterial LSU rRNA". It matches the Rfam family "Bacterial large subunit ribosomal RNA", at positions 1953 to 2925 of the family's 2925-position model. Lineage: Bacteria; Bacillati; Bacillota; Bacilli; Caryophanales; Bacillaceae. The record is from RNAcentral.
AAGGUAGCGAAAUUCCUUGUCGGGUAAGUUCCGACCUGCACGAAUGGCGUAACGAUGGCGGCGCUGUCUCCACCCGAGACUCAGUGAAAUUGAAAUCGCUGUGAAGAUGCAGUGUAUCCGCGGCUAGACGGAAAGACCCCGUGAACCUUUACUAUAGCUUUGCACUGGACUUUGAAUUUGCUUGUGUAGGAUAGGUGGGAGGCUUUGAAGCGUGGACGCCAGUUCGCGUGGAGCCAUCCUUGAAAUACCACCCUGGCAACUUUGAGGUUCUAACUCAGGUCCGUUAUCCGGAUCGAGGACAGUGUAUGGUGGGUAGUUUGACUGGGGCGGUCUCCUCCUAAAGAGUAACGGAGGAGUACGAAGGUGCGCUCAGACCGGUCGGAAAUCGGUCGUAGAGUAUAAAGGCAAAAGCGCGCUUGACUGCGAGACAGACACGUCGAGCAGGUACGAAAGUAGGUCUUAGUGAUCCGGUGGUUCUGUAUGGAAGGGCCAUCGCUCAACGGAUAAAAGGUACUCCGGGGAUAACAGGCUGAUACCGCCCAAGAGUUCAUAUCGACGGCGGUGUUUGGCACCUCGAUGUCGGCUCAUCACAUCCUGGGGCUGAAGCCGGUCCCAAGGGUAUGGCUGUUCGCCAUUUAAAGUGGUACGCGAGCUGGGUUCAGAACGUCGUGAGACAGUUCGGUCCCUAUCUGCCGUGGACGUUUGAGAUUUGAGAGGGGCUGCUCCUAGUACGAGAGGACCGGAGUGGACGAACCUCUGGUGUUCCGGUUGUCACGCCAGUGGCAUUGCCGGGUAGCUAUGUUCGGAAUAGAUAACCGCUGAAAGCAUCUAAGCGGGAAACUAGCCUCAAAACAAGGCUUCGCUGAGAUCCGUGAUAGACCAUCACGUUGAUAGGCCGGGUGUGGAAGUGCGGCGACGCAUGCAGCUUACCGGUACUAAUCGAUCGAUCGGCUUGAUCGU